RNAcentral lists this ribosomal RNA (450 nucleotides) under uncultured bacterium. Its description in RNAcentral is "partial 16S ribosomal RNA". It matches the Rfam family "Bacterial small subunit ribosomal RNA", at positions 354 to 796 of the family's 1533-position model. The record is from RNAcentral.
GUAGGGAAUCUUCCACAAUGGACGAAAGUCUGAUGGAGCAACGCCGCGUGAGUGAAGAAGGUCUUCGGAUCGUAAAACUCUGUUGUUAGAGAAGAACGUGCAUGAUAGUAACUGAUCAUGUAAUGACGGUAUCUAACCAGAAAGCCACGGCUAACUACGUGCCAGCAGCCGCGGUAAUACGUAGGUGGCAAGCGUUGUCCGGAUUUAUUGGGCGUAAAGGGAACGCAGGCGGGUUUUUAAGUCUGAUGUGAAAGCAUUCGGAUUAACCGAAGAAUAGCAGUGGAAACUGGAAGACUUGAGUGCAGAAGAGGAGAGUGGAAUUCCAGGUGUAGCGGUGAAAUGCGUAGGUAUAUGGAGGAACACCAGUGGCGAAAGCGGCUCUCUGGUCUAUAACUGACGCUGAGGUUCGAAAGCGUGGGUAGCAAACAGGAUUAGAAACCCCAGUAGUCC